This 484-nucleotide ribosomal RNA is filed under the name uncultured bacterium. Its description in RNAcentral is "bacterial SSU rRNA". It matches the Rfam family "Bacterial small subunit ribosomal RNA", at positions 15 to 518 of the family's 1533-position model. The record is from RNAcentral.
GAUUCUGGCUCAGGAUGAACGCUGGCGGCGUGCUUAACACAUGCAAGUCGAACGAGGUUAAGACUCGGUUUAAACCGAGUGGCGGACGGGUGAGUAACGCGUGGGUAACCUGCCGUAUGCAGGGGGACAACAGUUAGAAAUGACUGCUAAUACCGCAUAAGCUUACAGUAUCGCAUGAUACAGUGAGAAAAGAUUUAUCGGCAUACGAUGGACCCGCGUCUGAUUAGCUAGUUGGUGAGGUAACGGCCCACCAAGGCGACGAUCAGUAGCCGACCUGAGAGGGUGACCGGCCACAUUGGGACUGAGACACGGCCCAAACUCCUACGGGAGGCAGCAGUGGGGAAUAUUGCACAAUGGGCGCAAGCCUGAUGCAAGCGACGCCGCGUGAGUGAUGAAGUAUUUCGGUACGUAAAGCUCUAUCAGCAGGGAAGAUAAAGACGGUACCUGACUAAGAAGCCCCGGCUAACUACGUGCCAGCAGCGGC